This 468-nucleotide ribosomal RNA is filed under the name uncultured bacterium. RNAcentral describes it as "partial 16S ribosomal RNA". It matches the Rfam family "Bacterial small subunit ribosomal RNA", at positions 28 to 507 of the family's 1533-position model. The record is from RNAcentral.
GACGAACGCUGGCGGCGUGCUUAACACAUGCAAGUCGAACGGAAAGGCCCUGCUUUUGUGGUGUUCUCGAUUGGCGAACGGGUGAGUAUCACGUGAGUAACCUGCCCUUGUCUUUGGGAUAACUUCAGGAAACUGGGGCUAAUAUCGGAUAGGAGCUCCUGCUGCAUGGUGGGGGUUGGAAAGUUUCGGCGGUAGGGGAUGGACUCGCGGCUUAUCAGCUUGUUGGUGGGGUAGUUGCAUACCAAGGCUUUGACGGGUAGCCGGCCUGAGAGGGUGAACAGCGACAAGAGGACUGAGAGACGGAGCAGAGUCGUAGGGGAGGCAGUGGGGGGAAGCAUUGCACAAUGAGCGGAAGCCUGAGGCAGAAACGUCGCGUGCGGGAUGACGGCCUUCGGGUUGUAAACCGCUGUCGCCUGUGACGAAGCGUGAGUGACGGUAAUGGGUAAAGAAGCACCGGCUAACUACGUG